ACCAGCGUGAUGCAGCGGUUUGAGUGCUGGAUUACAACUCUGGAGGCCAGGGUUCGAUUCCCAACUCGGCCA
This is a non-coding RNA of Phrynosoma platyrhinos (Desert horned lizard), 72 nucleotides long. Lineage: Eukaryota; Metazoa; Chordata; Lepidosauria; Squamata; Phrynosomatidae. The record is from the annotation of a GenBank genome assembly.